UUUUGUUUUUAAACGUCCAAGCCCAUGAUGUCACUUGGAAGCUGGGUCCUGACACAGCUCCUCACUUCUGUGUUGUGUCUUGGAUGAAAGAAUUCAUAGAAGACAUAUAGGUGGCCAUGUUGAAGUUUGGCAGAAUUUACUGUAAAGAAGAUAGAGAAUUACAGCUUCAAAUGAGAAAUGUCAGAUUGUCAGUGGUCCCCCAGGGGCUUGAUCAUGUAAGAAACUUAGAGCUUUAUGAAAGAAAAAGUUCUAAUCAAAAUGUCUCAGGGCAAGGUGGGAGUGUCUUUAAAGAAGGGUCCCCUUUCUGAUGUCAUUGGGCAGUAGUCGAUAGCAACCAGAAAUGCUGUAUUACUUGUUUUGGAAAUAGCCUGGUAUCAGGAUGAAUGUGCAUCAUGCAUAACCUUAAAAUGUCAUAGUGCUAUGUGGGGUCGUUUUGGGUCUGAGACCUAACAACUGAUUAUAAAUGUAUUAUACACUGUUAUCUUUGUUUCAUUUAACCAUAACUGGCAAAGCAUACUGCUGUACUGUAAUUUGGACCUUCUGUGUCCCUCAAGCUCACUAAUGUCUACCUACGUGCAUAACAAUCACUCCCUCAAACCUUUAAAGAUACUACAAAUCCAUAGAUUAACCUAGUUUGAUAAUAAGGUAAAGGGUUGGUUGGCAUGAGUUCUUUUCAAGUGAGCGUACUCGUUUCUCCCGGAAAACAUGGCUAAAAGUUUAUGGUGUAAGUGGAAAAGAAAAAUGUGUGCUGAAAAGAGAAAAAAAAAUGCCCCAAAGGAGCUCAACAGACUUAAAAAUAAUCUCAAAGUAGACUGCGAUGUUUUAAUGAAUGACGUUCGGGAGAUAGCAACUGUGGUGGUACCUAAACAAUGCCAAGAGGAAAUGGACUGUGUGGCGAAUGAUGACCAAAAAGAUGACAUGAAAAUGGAGACUGAGAUAAAGAGAAACAAAAAGACUCUUCUAGACCAGAAUGGACAGUACCCAGUAUGGAUGAACCAGAGGCAGAGAAAAAGGCUGAAGGCAAAACGAGACAGAAGACAGGGGAAAAGCAAAGCAAAAGCAGCAAAGGCAGCAAAGGGUUUGGCCUGGUAGACCCUGAAAAACAGAAAUGUCACGUUAGUAGAAAUGCCAUAUGGGAGAAAUGUUUAAUUAGAAAGUACACAUUGAUUUCAGAUCCCACUAAUUGAAAACUCUUUCUGUUCAUAUUUUAACUUGGCCUUUUUUCACUUUAAACUCAAAAUAAUUUGUUUUGGGAAAUUGAAUAAAGUAUUUUCUUUGGAUAAGAGCUGUAUUUAUGUUUUAGUUGGAAAUUGACCAGUAUUCAGGUCUUAUCAGACAUCAAAAUCCUGUGAAAUAUUAACAUGGUUGUAAUUGUUUUUACAACUUGGUAAUUAUAGUCAGUAAAAUAAAUGAUAUACUGACAAAAAUUUGAGUGAACUCAUUU
Molecule: RNA transcript, 1444 nt
Organism: Heterocephalus glaber (naked mole-rat)
Lineage: Eukaryota; Metazoa; Chordata; Mammalia; Rodentia; Bathyergidae
Source: RefSeq, a predicted model, not a curated record